This 117-nucleotide non-coding RNA is filed under the name Homo sapiens (human). The record is from Rfam by way of RNAcentral. Lineage: Eukaryota; Metazoa; Chordata; Mammalia; Primates; Hominidae.
GCCAGGAGUGGUGGCUCACGCCUGUAAUCCCAGCACUUUGGGAGGCCGAGACGGGUGGAUCACCUGAGGUCAGGAGUUCUAGACCAGCCUGGCCAACAUGGUGAAACCCCGUCUCUA